This 211-nucleotide long non-coding RNA is filed under the name Elaeis guineensis (African oil palm). RNAcentral's name for it is "long non-coding RNA (EGUI_LNC069210)". Lineage: Eukaryota; Viridiplantae; Streptophyta; Magnoliopsida; Arecales; Arecaceae. The record is from RNAcentral.
CGUUUAACCUGUUUAUGAAACAGAUAACCUAUCUAACCGAUCCGAUUCAAUCCAUUUAACUUAUUUACUAAAUAAAUAAUCUGUUUACUAGACCCAACAUGAUCUGACCUAUUUAACUUGUUUGUUUAAAAAAAUUAAUUAUUUUUGGGCCUUGGGCCCAAUACUAUUUGAAUUUUAAUCUGUUAGUUCAAACCAAGAGAUAAUCCAUCUC